Molecule: ribosomal RNA, 253 nt
Filed under: uncultured bacterium
Lineage: Bacteria
Description: partial 16S ribosomal RNA
Rfam family: Bacterial small subunit ribosomal RNA
Source: RNAcentral
UACGUAGGGGGCAAGCGUUGUCCGGAUUUAUUGGGCGUAAAGAGCGUGUAGGCGGCUAGAUAGGUCCGUUGUGAAAACUCGAGGCUCAACCUCGAGACGUCGAUGGAAACCAUCUGGCUAGAGUCCGGAAGAGGAGAGUGGAAUUCCUGGUGUAGCGGUGAAAUGCGCAGAUAUCAGGAAGAACACCAAUAGCGAAGGCGGCUACCUGGCCCAUUCUUGACGCUGAGGCGCGAAAGCUAGGGGAGCAAACGGG